GAUGAACGCUGGCGGCGUGCCUAAUACAUGCAAGUCGAGCGAACGGACGAGAAGCUUGCUUCUCUGAUGUUAGCGGCGGACGGGUGAGUAACACGUGGAUAACCUACCUAUAAGACUGGGAUAACUUCGGGAAACCGGAGCUAAUACCGGAUAAUAUUUUGAACCGCAUGGUUCAAAAGUAAAAGACGGUCUUGCUGUCACUUAUAGAUGGAUCCGCGCUGCGUUAGCUAGUUGGUAAGGUAACGGCUUACCGAGGCAACGAUGCAUAGCCGACCUGAGAGGGUGAUCGGCCACACUGGAACUGAGACACGGUCCAGACUCCUACGGGAGGCAGCAGUAGGGAAUCUUCCGCAAUGGGCGAAAGCCUGACGGAGCAACGCCGCGUGAGUGAUGAAGGUCUUCGGAUCGUAAAACUCUGUUAUUAGGGAAGAACAUAUGUGUAAGUAACUGUGCACAUCUUGACGGUACCUAAUCAGAAAGCCACGGCUAACUACGUG
RNAcentral lists this ribosomal RNA (497 nucleotides) under uncultured bacterium. RNAcentral's name for it is "partial 16S ribosomal RNA". It matches the Rfam family "Bacterial small subunit ribosomal RNA", at positions 28 to 507 of the family's 1533-position model. The record is from RNAcentral.